GUCACAAUACCUUAUAAUCCCUAUCAGGGAUUGAAAC
RNAcentral lists this non-coding RNA (37 nucleotides) under Planktothrix agardhii. The record is from RNAcentral. Lineage: Bacteria; Bacillati; Cyanobacteriota; Cyanophyceae; Oscillatoriales; Microcoleaceae.